Molecule: long non-coding RNA, 221 nt
Filed under: Spirodela polyrhiza (greater duckweed)
Lineage: Eukaryota; Viridiplantae; Streptophyta; Magnoliopsida; Alismatales; Araceae
Description: long non-coding RNA (SPOL_LNC001359)
Source: RNAcentral
CCGUGUACCUCCGCCAGCCAGGUGUUGUCUUGAGCGCCAACCUGGUUCGUAUCGAUGUGUAUGGAGGAGAUGCGAUCAGUCAUGCUGUCGGGAUUAUGUAGGCCGGGGAAAUGACAAGAGUGAGCUGGGGUACGUGUCUGAUGUCCGCGCUUGCAGAGAGCAUCUGUGCGCGUCGAUACGCACCGGAUGGGUCAUCCUCCUCCUGUCCCCCCACACCCAUG